AGCUCUGUGGAGUAAUGCUCGUUGGGUUGCAAACCCAAAGGUGUGGGUUAACUUCCCUCCGGGGCUU
Molecule: transfer RNA, 67 nt
Filed under: Holopristis ocellifer
Lineage: Eukaryota; Metazoa; Chordata; Actinopteri; Characiformes; Acestrorhamphidae
Description: Hemigrammus ocellifer tRNA-Cys
Rfam family: tRNA
About the family: Transfer RNA (tRNA) molecules are approximately 80 nucleotides in length. Their secondary structure includes four short double-helical elements and three loops (D, anti-codon, and T loops). Further hydrogen bonds mediate the characteristic L-shaped molecular structure. tRNAs have two regions of fundamental functional importance: the anti-codon, which is responsible for specific mRNA codon recognition, and the 3' end, to which the tRNAs corresponding amino acid is attached (by aminoacyl-tRNA synthetases). tRNAs cope with the degeneracy of the genetic code in two manners: having more than one tRNA (with a specific anti-codon) for a particular amino acid; and 'wobble' base-pairing, i.e. permitting non-standard base-pairing at the 3rd anti-codon position.
Source: RNAcentral